RNAcentral lists this ribosomal RNA (254 nucleotides) under uncultured bacterium. RNAcentral's name for it is "partial 16S ribosomal RNA". It matches the Rfam family "Archaeal small subunit ribosomal RNA", at positions 474 to 727 of the family's 1478-position model. The record is from RNAcentral.
UACCAGCACCCCGAGUGGUCGGGACGAUUAUUGGGCCUAAAGCAUCCGUAGCCGGCCUUACAAGUCCUCCGUUAAAUCCAGCUGCUUAACAGAUGGGCUGCGGAGGAUACUAUAAGACUAGGAGGCAGGAGAGGCAAGCGGUACUCAGUGGGUAGGGGUAAAAUCCGUUGAUCCAUUGAAGACCACCAGUGGCGAAGGCGGCUUGCCAGAAUGCGCUCGACGGUGAGGGAUGAAAGCUGGGGGGAGCAAACGGG